GGGGAAUGUCAGCGUACCCGCUGGCUGGUGAGGGGUGACGACAGGGAUGCAGGAAGCCGUCAAGGGCGUUUUCUUCAGGGACAGUGACUGUGUCAGGAUGAACAACUAUUGUGAGACCCCGCUACUCUAGAGUUGCCCUUCAGAGCUGCGGGGCCAGGGGACCCAGAUGACCUUUGUUCCCGGGGUGUCCAGGUGCGCUGCUUGGCACAGCCAUGGUGUGGAAAGGCUCUCUUUAUCCUAAACCAUCACCAUCACCAUCACCAUCACCAUCACCGUCACCAUCACCGUCACCAUCAUCGUCACCUUCAUGUGACGCGAAAGCACAGAUGCUCCAGAACUCCCUGAAGGUCACAGAUGAAACAAGCCAAGAGCCAGUGGAGGCCUGCUUCAAGCCGAGGGGAAUGACACAAGUCAGGGAGGAUCUGCCUUUGCCGUUGACUCAGUUUAUCAAGCCACACCACACCCAUGCCUCCUCUGACUCUGGCUUCUGAACCAGAGACCCUACCAUGACCCGUGCCUGGGUGAAGGAGCCCACUUCUGAUGUGGGUUACCUGCUGCACAUCCUGCUCGAGUCCAGAGAGCAGAAGCUUAGGUAGACAGCAGGUCCAGGCAGGGAAGCCCGCAGCCCCGUGGGAGUCCAGCUGUGUGAUUUGGAGCAAGUUACUUAUGUCUCUGAAAAGAAGCAAGAUAACAAUAGCACCUCCCUCCCAUGCAGUGUCUUAGUUACUUUUCUGUUGUUACUGAGACAAAAUACCAACCAUCUGAAGUUAAAGGAGGGAAUAGUUAUUUAGCUCAUAGUUUGUAGAAGUUCCAGUCCACAGUUGGCUGGCUCCAAGGCACAGUGGCACAUGGCAGAGGGGCAACCGUUCAUGAUAGUGGAAGACAGAAAAAGCAACAACAGAGAGAAGGAAGACAAGCCUCCUUCCACCCAUUAUAUUGUAUCCAGUCUACUGGGAUUAGGGUGGUGCAAAUCACUGAAGUCAUCUGGCAUUACCCUCGUAAUCCCAGCACCCUUUAUCCUAGCACUGCACCAGAAAUCAAUCGCAUGACCUAUAUUCAGUGCAUCUAAAAACUCUAUCGAAUGCUGCAUGAGGCUUUGGGGGGACAUCCAGAUGCAAACCAUAACACAGGGUGCUGGAAAUAUUAUAUAUGACACACACAACAAGGCUGAUGCACAAUAAGCUACUAAAAUAAUCCAGCUGGGUCUGGUGGUAUGUGAUUAUAAUAGAAGCCACUUAAGAGGCAGAGGCAGAAGGAUCUCAAAUUCAAAGCCCAUAAAACAAUGGGAUAAUUUCUCAAUAUCAGUGAAUGACUUGGAUUUAAAUCAUUGCAUUCAGUAAGUAUCUAUGAAGGCCUCCUAUUCAUAGCAAUAGGGCUGAAUGAAGCCUUGAAAAGCCAUUGCCCUGGUGGAGGUUUUACUUCCACUAGGGAAAUCCAUGAACAGAUUCUCAUGUGAUAUGCACCAAACAAUGACCCUGAGGAGUCCAAGG
RNAcentral lists this long non-coding RNA (1490 nucleotides) under Cavia porcellus (domestic guinea pig). Its description in RNAcentral is "lncRNA (ENSCPOG00000035206.1)". Lineage: Eukaryota; Metazoa; Chordata; Mammalia; Rodentia; Caviidae. The record is from RNAcentral.